CAAAGUCAUGGUUAAGUGGGAAACGAUGUGGGAAGGCCCAGACAGCCAGGAUGUUGGCUUAGAAGCAGCCAUCAUUUAAAGAAAGCGUAAUAGCUCACUGGUCGAGUCGGCCUGCGCGGAAGAUGUAACGGGGCUAAACCAUGCACCGAAGCUGCGGCAGCGACGCUUAUGCGUUGUUGGGUAGGGGAGCGUUCUGUAAGCCUGUGAAGGUGUGCUGUGAGGCAUGCUGGAGGUAUCAGAAGUGCGAAUGCUGACAUAAGUAACGAUAAAGCGGGUGAAAAGCCCGCUCGCCGGAAGACCAAGGGUUCCUGUCCAACGUUAAUCGGGGCAGGGUGAGUCGACCCCUAAGGCGAGGCCGAAAGGCGUAGUCGAUGGGAAACAGGUUAAUAUUCCUGUACUUGGUGUUACUGCGAAGGGGGGACGGAGAAGGCUAUGUUGGCCGGGCGACGGUUGUCCCGGUUUAAGCGUGUAGGCUGG
This 477-nucleotide ribosomal RNA is filed under the name Escherichia coli. RNAcentral's name for it is "partial 23S ribosomal RNA". It matches the Rfam family "Bacterial large subunit ribosomal RNA", at positions 1048 to 1528 of the family's 2925-position model. Lineage: Bacteria; Pseudomonadati; Pseudomonadota; Gammaproteobacteria; Enterobacterales; Enterobacteriaceae. The record is from RNAcentral.